RNAcentral lists this ribosomal RNA (489 nucleotides) under uncultured bacterium. RNAcentral's name for it is "partial 16S ribosomal RNA". It matches the Rfam family "Bacterial small subunit ribosomal RNA", at positions 28 to 502 of the family's 1533-position model. The record is from RNAcentral.
GACGAACGCUGGCGGCGUGCUUAACACAUGCAAGUCGAACGGAAAGGCCUGCUUUCCCUUGUGGAUUGCGGGUACUCGAGUGGCGAACGGGUGAGUAACACGUGAGUGAUCUGCCCCCAACUUGGGUAUAAGCCUGGGAAACUGGGUCUAAUUCCCGAUAGGACUGCAGGGUGGUGCCUGUGGUGGAAAACGAUUUUCUAGUGGUUGGGGAUGAGCUCGCGGCCUAUCAGCUUGUUGGUGGGGUAAUGGCCUACCAAGGCGGCGACGGGUAGCCGGCCUGAGAGGGUGGACGGCCACAUUGGGACUGAGAUACGGCCCAGACUCCUACGGGAGGCAGCAGUGGGGAAUAUUGCACAAUGGGCGGAAGCCUGAUGCAGCGACGCCGCGUGGGGGAUGACGGCCUUCGGGUUGUAAACUCCUUUCGACCGCGAGGAAGCCACCUGGUUGGAAGGGUGGUGACGGUAGUGGUAGAAGAAGCACCGGCUAACU